AGGGCCUUUCCUAAUUGCUAAUAGUGUGGUGUCUGAAGAUCUCUUUCAAUCCUAUAUUGCUACCGGAUUUCCAGCUUGGCUUAGUCUUCUUUAUGUUUAAAGUAUGCUUUGUCUAGGCUGCAAUCAAAAUCUGUUUUCAUUUGGAUUUCCUCUGAUCUUCAUUGUAAUCUUUUGAUUAUUAUAUAAAAAUAGUGUUUAAAAAAAAUAUGUUACAGACUUAGGAAUAAAGUUUAAAUAAUUUAUGAAAUACAUAUAGCACAGUGUAUAUUUAUGCAACUUGACAUAUUUAAUACAGCUAUCAAAAUUUAAAUUAAAUUAAUUUAAGAUCAAACAAAAAUAUGAUUAUAAGAAAAACACAAAUAUGAUUAAAAACAUAAAUAUAAAAAUUCAAUGUUAAAAAAAAAUUAAAACAAAAAUAUACCCGCAUGUCAAAGGACGGGUCAGAAUAUAGUUUGUUAGGUAAAGCCCACUACUAGCACGAUUCCACCUACAAUAUCAGUUUACUCGUAAAUUCGUCCUUAAAGAAAUGUAAAGCUUUUCUUUGUAAAGGGGUAGUUACUUUACAAUACUUUUAUGACGAAUCUUCUUCUACAUUGUAAAAUUGACUUAAAUUUACACAUAUAUUAUGAUGGAUUUGAUUCCUCAUAAAUUUGAUGUAAAUUUACGAAGAAUUCCUUUGUACUCGUAAUAGCGUUGUUAGCUCGUAGUAAUUUACUACAACUAUGCCCUUUUUCAAAAAAAAAAAUUACUACAACGAUCAUUUUUUGUAAUUUUCUUUGUUACAGACAUGUUUUAUUAUUGUAAUAAAUACUCAUGAAAUCUUUAUUAGCCACUUGACUCAUUUAUAUUAUUUGAUUUAAGAAAAAAAUUAAAUAGUUUAAUCAAGUCACAGUAGAAUAUUAAUUUUGUGUUUGUUUAGAAAGUGAUUGAUUUGGUGUUCUCUCCGAUAAGGGUGCUCUUAACCACUCAAAAGUUAUCACGCUACUACUAUUUAUAUGGUUCACUUAUAUAUCACUCCCAGAAACAAAAUCCUUUCUCACACCACAAAACAUAAAAAGAGAAAUAGUUGACGAAAUGAAGUCUAUAGUCUUGCUCCUCUUGCUUCUUGCCGUUUCAACCUCAGGGAACAAGAUGUAUAGCUGGCAAAAUCUCACAGGCGUUCAUGAAGAUAAAGGGCUUUGGGAUUCUCUUGCAGGGAAUGGGAAGUAUUUAACCAUUUUAGCAAAUGAUGCUACGAGUAAUUGUGGUCCCAAGCCUGGUGCAUGUACCGGAAUUGUUAAUGGUAUGAAAUUUAGUGAUUGUCCAACAUACACCAGAUGCAAACGCCUCGUGACCGAUUCGACUUAACCUAGCUCAAGUUUCCUCUAUGGCUCCGAAUGGUUACGCUAUGCGGAACAUAGAAGAGAGAGCAUACCCAAAAGUCGACAAUCCAUAUUUACAACUUUAUUUUGUUCCGACUCUCUACGCUCUCUAAAACCUAGUCGGUUUGUACUGUGCAUCUAUUAGGAAACCAUGUGUUUCCUCUUUUGUUUCGCUUCAAGGGAUAUUUAUUUUAUAGAAAUAAAUGUUUCUUUUGUUCUGUCUUUCUAAGCUUGUAUGCCCCCUGGAGUAGUUUAUUGAGUUUAACUAAAAUUUCUGAUCGGUUUAGUAUACCAACCAAAUGAAAUUAGAUAAAGUUAUUAUAGUUUAUACAUACAAAUUUGUACAUAUUUAAAAUUUUUGAAUAUAUUAAAUAUGAAUAUAAAAUAUCAAUUUUAUUUUGAC
Molecule: long non-coding RNA, 1764 nt
Filed under: Brassica napus (rape)
Lineage: Eukaryota; Viridiplantae; Streptophyta; Magnoliopsida; Brassicales; Brassicaceae
Description: long non-coding RNA (BNAP_LNC016075)
Source: RNAcentral